Molecule: long non-coding RNA, 327 nt
Filed under: Solanum tuberosum (potato)
Lineage: Eukaryota; Viridiplantae; Streptophyta; Magnoliopsida; Solanales; Solanaceae
Description: long non-coding RNA (STUB_LNC001013)
Source: RNAcentral
AUAUAUCAGUUUAUUAAAGCACACACAACAUUUUAUCACAGAGACAAAACAGCGGAAAAGAAAAGGGCGAGUAUUACCUGUUAUCGGGCAGUGAACGGAGAUGCUUUGGUCUAAGGCCUACGUUCGAAUAACGACCAACUCGAAACUAGAGUUCUUAGCCGAGAUCAAAAUAGAACCAAAAUGAUAUUUUGGAGCAAAAUAAACAGUGGUUAAGGGGCUAUAGUGCGAUGGAAAAACUUCUUAAAGAAAUGAAUGCCCAAGGCUUCUAUGGAGGCUGAAAAAAUCUCUCCCCUGGCUAAAGAUGUAAGGAUGUAUUUAUAGGUAANN